RNAcentral lists this ribosomal RNA (465 nucleotides) under Vreelandella stevensii. Its description in RNAcentral is "partial 16S ribosomal RNA". It matches the Rfam family "Bacterial small subunit ribosomal RNA", at positions 338 to 795 of the family's 1533-position model. Lineage: Bacteria; Pseudomonadati; Pseudomonadota; Gammaproteobacteria; Oceanospirillales; Halomonadaceae. The record is from RNAcentral.
CCUACGGGGGGCUGCAGUGGGGAAUAUUGGACAAUGGGGGCAACCCUGAUCCAGCCAUGCCGCGUGUGUGAAGAAGGCCCUCGGGUUGUAAAGCACUUUCAGUGAGGAAGAACGCCUGGUGGUUAAUACCCAUCAGGAAAGACAUCACUCACAGAAGAAGCACCGGCUAACUCCGUGCCAGCAGCCGCGGUAAUACGGAGGGUGCGAGCGUUAAUCGGAAUUACUGGGCGUAAAGCGCGCGUAGGUGGCUUGAUAAGCCGGUUGUGAAAGCCCCGGGCUCAACCUGGGAACGGCAUCCGGAACUGUCAAGCUAGAGUGCAGGAGAGGAAGGUAGAAUUCCCGGUGUAGCGGUGAAAUGCGUAGAGAUCGGGAGGAAUACCAGUGGCGAAGGCGGCCUUCUGGACUUACACUGACACUGAGGUGCGAAAGCGUGGGUAGCAAACAGGAUUAGAUACCCGUGUAGUC